AUUCUAAUAUGACGUGCUUCUUUCGCUUUAUGAAUAAACCCAUGCUCUAAAUCCAAUAUUUUUUUUCUGCACAUGCGUACAUAUUGACUACAGCAAAAUAAUGAUUUUUAUCAAAUUAGCAUGCAUUUAAUAUAUUUCAUAAACUGAAAACUCUUCCAAACUCUUAAAUGAUGCACAUGUUGUUACUAAUUCAUUUAUUAUGACUGUAAUGUGUUGCAUUCCGAAAUUGACAUAUUUGACCUAGAUACGACAACUGUUCAUGCUGGCUGUUCCAAAACUCCUCCCUCUGAAAAAUCACAGUGUCAACUGUUUGCUUCUUUACAAACAAAAAAGGGAGGUUCAUGGAAGAGCCUAUACAAUCGCUUUACCCU
Molecule: long non-coding RNA, 371 nt
Filed under: Mytilus galloprovincialis (Mediterranean mussel)
Lineage: Eukaryota; Metazoa; Mollusca; Bivalvia; Mytilida; Mytilidae
Source: RNAcentral